UGAAGACCUGCUUGAAUACAUUGGAGUGUA
RNAcentral lists this non-coding RNA (30 nucleotides) under Mus musculus (house mouse). The record is from RNAcentral. Lineage: Eukaryota; Metazoa; Chordata; Mammalia; Rodentia; Muridae.